AGAGUUUGAUCCUGGCUCAGGAUGAACGCUAGCUACAGGCUUAACACAUGCAAGUCGAGGGGAAACGACAUCGAAAGCUUGCUUUUGAUGGGCGUCGACCGGCGCACGGGUGAGUAACGCGUAUCCAACCUGCCCACCACUUGGGGAUAACCUUGCGAAAGUAAGACUAAUACCCAAUGAUAUCUCUAGAAGACAUCUGAAAGAGAUUAAAGAUUUAUCGGUGAUGGAUGGGGAUGCGUCUGAUUAGCUUGUUGGCGGGGUAACGGCCACCAAGGCGACGAUCAGUAGGGGUUCUGAGAGGAACGGUCCCCCACAUUGGAACUGAGACACGGUACCAAACUCCUACGGAGGCA
RNAcentral lists this ribosomal RNA (353 nucleotides) under uncultured bacterium. Its description in RNAcentral is "bacterial SSU rRNA". It matches the Rfam family "Bacterial small subunit ribosomal RNA", at positions 8 to 350 of the family's 1533-position model. The record is from RNAcentral.